Molecule: ribosomal RNA, 253 nt
Filed under: uncultured bacterium
Lineage: Bacteria
Description: partial 16S ribosomal RNA
Rfam family: Bacterial small subunit ribosomal RNA
Source: RNAcentral
UACGUAGGUGGCGAGCGUUGUCCGGAUUUACUGGGCGUAAAGAGCGCGCAGGCGGUCGUUCAAGUCGCGUGUGAAAGCCCCCGGCUCAACUGGGGAGGGUCACGCGAUACUGUUCGACUCGAAGGCAGGAGAGGGAAGUGGAAUUCCCGGUGUAGUGGUGAAAUGCGUAGAUAUCGGGCGGAACACCAGUGGCGAAGGCGACUUCCUGGCCUGUUCUUGACGCUGAGGCGCGAAAGCUAGGGGAGCAAACGGG